UCUGCCUGGCAGUUGACUGGUCUGGAGCCAGACUUAGUCUUAGGCACAAGACUUGGUCCAAGGGACAGGGGCUAGGAUCCCCGAGGUCCCCACUUCUGCGAAAGCUAUUAGCCACCUCUGGAUUCCCCUCCCCUGACCCUGCUACCUCUCCCCAUCCCCCACGGUCUCUUGCUGUGCCUUGGAGGUCCUGCUCCAUUGGCAUCCAGAAAGCUCUGGGGGUGUCUGAAGAGGUCAGGGAUCCUCUAGCCUCCUGUUCCUGACCAGAACCAAGACGUAACAUCCGCUUCAUUGCGAACAUGACUUCACUUCCGGCCCCCAGUCCUGGAAGGCCCCCUCAGGCAGGGGGGCCUCGUUCCAUGCUGAGCAUAGUGCCAACACAGCAGCUGCGGAGUGUCUGCCUGUCUUCGACGGAGUAGGAAAGAACACACAGACAUUUAAAAUGCCAGCGGCCGUUAACCAAUGAGGAUUCAUCGAGCCAACUGCAAAGACACAUUCCGCCCCCAAUCAGUUGGAGUACGCUGAAUGUAAACUGCAUUAGA
Non-coding RNA from Peromyscus maniculatus bairdii (prairie deer mouse), 539 nucleotides. NCBI's taxonomy places the organism in Eukaryota, Metazoa, Chordata, Mammalia, Rodentia, Cricetidae. The record is from RefSeq and is a predicted model, not a curated record.